GACGAACGCUGGCGGCGUGCUUAACACAUGCAAGUCGAACGGAAAGGCCCUGCUUUUGUGGGGUGCUCGAGUGGCGAACGGGUGAGUAACACGUGAGUAACCUGCCCUUGACUUUGGGAUAACUUCAGGAAACUGGGGCUAAUACCGGAUAGGAGCUCCUGCUGCAUGGUGGGGGUUGGAAAUUUUCGGCGGUUGGGGAUGGACUCGCGGCUUAUCAGCUUGUUGGUGGGGUAGUGGCUUACCAAGGCUUUGACGGGUAGCCGGCCUGAGAGGGUGACCGGCCACAUUGGGACUGCGAGACGGCCCAGACUCCUACGGGGGGCAGCAGUGGGAAAUAUUGCACAAUGGGCGGAAGCCUGAUGCAGCAACGUCGCGUGCGGGAUGACGGCCUUCGGGGUGUAAACCGCUUUCGCCUGUGACGAAGCGUGAGUGACGGUAAUGGGUAAAGAAGCACCGGCUAACUACGUG
RNAcentral lists this ribosomal RNA (468 nucleotides) under uncultured bacterium. RNAcentral describes it as "partial 16S ribosomal RNA". It matches the Rfam family "Bacterial small subunit ribosomal RNA", at positions 28 to 507 of the family's 1533-position model. The record is from RNAcentral.